Molecule: microRNA precursor, 78 nt
Filed under: Myotis lucifugus (little brown bat)
Lineage: Eukaryota; Metazoa; Chordata; Mammalia; Chiroptera; Vespertilionidae
Description: mir-9229 microRNA precursor family
Rfam family: mir-9229 microRNA precursor family
Source: Rfam by way of RNAcentral
GAGACACCCUUCUGGGGCAGGACUUGCUUCAGUGGGGCUUUGGUGCUCACUGAGUCUGCCCUCUAAGAGUGUGUCUCU